CCCUUAGAUGUUCUGAACCGCACGCGUGUUACACUGAUGCAUUCAACGAGCUUUACCUUGGCCGAGAGGCCUGGGAAAUCUUUUUAGCAUGCAUCGUGAUAGGGAUUGAUUAUUGCAAUUAUUAAUCAUGAACGAGGAAUUCCUAGUAAACGCAUUUCAUCAAAAUGCAUUGAUUACGUCCCUGCCCUUUGUACACACCGCCCGUCGCUCCUACCGAUUGAAUGGUCCGGUGAAGCGUUUGGACUAUGGUUUUCUGACGGUUCGCCAUUGGAUUACCGUGGGAAAUUCGUUAAACCUUAUCAUUUAGAGGAAGGAGAAGUCGUAACA
This 327-nucleotide ribosomal RNA is filed under the name uncultured eukaryote. RNAcentral describes it as "partial 18S ribosomal RNA". It matches the Rfam family "Eukaryotic small subunit ribosomal RNA", at positions 1470 to 1796 of the family's 1831-position model. The record is from RNAcentral.